This 436-nucleotide ribosomal RNA is filed under the name uncultured bacterium. Its description in RNAcentral is "bacterial SSU rRNA". It matches the Rfam family "Bacterial small subunit ribosomal RNA", at positions 30 to 466 of the family's 1533-position model. The record is from RNAcentral.
AUUGAACGCUGGCGGCAUGCCUUACACAUGCAAGUCGAACGGCAGCACGGGAGCAAUCCUGGUGGCGAGUGGCGAACGGGUGAGUAAUAUAUCGGAACGUGCCCAGUCGUGGGGAUAACGUAGCGAAAGCUACGCUAAUACCGCAUACGAUCUAUGGAUGAAAGCGGGGGAUCGCAAGACCUCGCGCGAUUGGAGCGGCCGAUAUCAGAUUAGGUAGUUGGUGAGGUAAAGGCUCACCAAGCCGACGAUCUGUAGCUGGUCUGAGAGGACGACCAGCCACACUGGGACUGAGACACGGCCCAGACUCCUACGGGAGGCAGCAGUGGGGAAUUUUGGACAAAUGGGCGCAAGCCUGAUCCAGCAAUGCCGCGUGCAGGAUGAAAGGCCUUCGGUUGUAAACGUGACUUUGUACGGAACGAACGGUGAGCUCGUAAUA